CCUACGGGAGGCAGCAGUGGGGAAUUUUGGACAAUGGGCGCAAGUCUGAUCCAGCCAUGCCGCGUGCGGGAAGAAGGCCUUCGGGUUGUAAACCGCUUUUGUCAGGGAAGAAAAGGUUCUGGUUAAUACCUGGGACUCAUGACGGUACCUGAAGAAUAAGCACCGGCUAACUACGUGCCAGCAGCCGCGGUAAUACGUAGGGUGCAAGCGUUAAUCGGAAUUACUGGGCGUAAAGCGUGCGCAGGCGGUUAUGCAAGACAGAGGUGAAAUCCCCGGGCUCAACCUGGGAACUGCCUUUGUGACUGCAUAGCUAGAGUACGGUAGAGGGGGAUGGAAUUCCGCGUGUAGCAGUGAAAUGCGUAGAUAUGCGGAGGAACACCGAUGGCGAAGGCAAUCCCCUGGACCUGUACUGACGCUCAUGCACGAAAGCGUGGGGAGCAAACAGGAUUAGAUACCCUGGUAGUCCACGCCCUAAACGAUGUCACUGGUUGUGGGUAGGUUUCUUCUCAGUACGUAGCUAACGCGUGAGUUGACCGCGUGGAGGUACGGCGCGUAAGGUAGUAACGUUAAAGUUAGUAGUUAGUUAGNGNGNGAGNGCGACGGACGACGACGAGGGAGGAGG
RNAcentral lists this ribosomal RNA (622 nucleotides) under uncultured bacterium. RNAcentral describes it as "bacterial SSU rRNA". The stretch from base 1 to 538 matches the Rfam family "Bacterial small subunit ribosomal RNA", at positions 338 to 873 of the family's 1533-position model. The record is from RNAcentral.